This is a long non-coding RNA of Bombus huntii, 4996 nucleotides long. RefSeq lists it as uncharacterized. Lineage: Eukaryota; Metazoa; Arthropoda; Insecta; Hymenoptera; Apidae. The transcript is spliced from 3 exons. The record is from RefSeq and is a predicted model, not a curated record.
ACAGCCAUCGAGUUAAAGUGACCGUUGAGCGAAGUGGAAGAGAGAGACGGAGUGCGUUCAACGCGAAACCAUUCUAGAAUGUGUAGUGUACGUCACAUCGGUAAAAAUGAAAUACGGUACCGAGAAUAUCGUGGGGCAAAAAAUAUCCCAGACGCGUCGCUAGACGAAUCAAGUGACCGCCCAUGCAUUUCACGCGACCUUUAUUCCAACUCAACUAGACAGAAAGAGAUGGAUAGAUAAAAAGAGAGGAAGAGAGGGGGAAACAUCGAGAAAAGAGACACAUGCCAUCGUGUCUCGAUGGUGUAAUAUGAGAAAACACGUAUUCGCUGGUCAAGUGAUUUCGAGAAUUAAAAAUACGUUCGAGCUUUCGUAAGGAGGUCGAUAUAUCAAGGACAAGCCGUACCCUGUUUAUUCGACUGCGCUCUAUUAUUGGAUUUGUAUUCCACUGACAAUAGGAUCGAAACGAACCUAAUAGAAUUUACAUCGUAGUCGCCGCUGAUGCGCUGAUGCGUGUACGCCAUCGAGAACGUCACUGUGGUUAGGAGAUUAGAUGCCGAGGGCGCGCUGGACUGAAGAGGAACGGCCGUCCCGCAAAUAAUCUUUGACGUAACAAAUUGAAAAUUGGAUUACCGCGUACCUCACGUCCUGUCGCAAACUGGCUUUACCUACAGGAUGUUAUAUACAUAUUUCAAUAAACUAUUCAAAAUGAUUAUAGGAUAUAGGUUAUCAUUUAAUAAUUAAAUUGUAUAAGGAGAUUAUAAUACAUAUGGACGAUAGGCCACAUUUAAUAGCAAUUAUUAUUUGAAAAAUAUGCAAAAAUGAAUUGCCAAUAUUUAAAUGAAUUCAAUACGACGAAUCAGUACACGAAUAUCACUGGUCAUGGAAUGGCACUCAAUGUCAGCCACGAAAACAUUGUCGACCUUGAAGUCUCGAUAAAUACAGCAAAAAAAAGCAUUGCACUAACCAAACUGUUUGUUCUUUCAGUAGAAAAAACGAUUACUUGUCGGUAUUUCACACUAUCCGAAGGGAGAUUUUUGGUUAGCCAUCUAUGUUACACGUUUCAGUGUAUAUAUCAAUUCACACAUGGCGCGACACGGGUGGACCAUAAAUCACUACGUGUGUAUAUAAAUUCCUAAGCUCGCGCGACCGCGGCUGAUUUGCGUCAAUCAACGUCAAUGAAAAAUGAGGUGAUCCACAGCUAAAAUUGUGGAACCUACGUGACGCUCGAUUUCUCGAUUAAAAUUCGAUUCAGAUGUAAUGCAUGCGUUGAUAAUUGGUUGUUAUGCAAACCUCGAGAUGCAAGAUGGCAGCAGGAGAAGGUAUUGAGUUUCGAGCUUCGAGUCUCGACUCGGGUCUGAUAAUAAAUAGAGACUGCAGGUUUUUAUGCAUUUAUAGAAAAUUUGAAGAUACAAAAGUGCACAGAACGCGCAUAAUAUGAAAAGAUAUAUGAAGUAUCCAAAGUAUAGUGCUUUCUACAAUAUUUAGUAGACAAAACGAUUUUCUACGUAGGUUCUACAUAUUUUCUGAAUUACGUAUAUUGUUUAUAAUGUGAAUUUGUAUAAAAAUCUGCGGUCUACUAAUAAGGAAUUGAGAUAAAUGUGAGACAUGCACGAGAUUCGUAUCGAAAUCAUGUUUCGCGCGAACGAGGAACGGGUGUUGUCGUACGAAAUAAAAAGUUUGACGGUGAAGGGACUAUUACUCGAGACUCUUGACACGCGAGAGCGCGCGUCCAUCUCGACGAUACAAUGUAUCGUCACUCGUCACAGUUUUUCUACUACCACGCCUCUCUUCCCCGUACAAGGGCAAACUACUCGCUUUACGAAGGUGGUAGGCCUUGGUCUAACCACGGGUCGACGAAUAGCAGCGCCCCUACCCAAACGAUAGCGAAUCGUCGGAUGCACACGUCCGCUAAAAGUCAGCAACGCCGGAGGCAGUCGGACGCGAUACUCGCGAUUUACCUACUUUAAAAGCGUACAUCGGCUCGCUAAAUUUCUUUACUGCACAACGGCCACGUUGUCCUCGUGGCUGCGGCCAAUUAGCCGCGAAACGUGUAGCGAGAAUCGCGAUAACCAUAUAUCUAAAGCAUGAUGGACACGGAAGGUUUCAAUGAACGACUUAAUUUAUACAAAUACAUCGUCUGCAAAUUGAGUAACUUACGUUCGAUAACUUACGUUCACAAAGAAUUGAUACGAUUUAAAAUAAGGAAAUGAGGAAGAUGAUUACCUUGAUUAAUUAAAAUAAGGAGAUUAGCGACACAGAGGCGUGAAUAACAUCAUAAAGGAUAUAACCUAACAAACACGAAGAUGGUACCCUGCUGGGGAUAGCCACCCACAUGAUAAUCAAACAGCCAAAAAAUUCUACCAAAUGUCCAAAUCGGACAAAUUGUGAAUGUAAACAAUAAAAAAAAAAAACAGAAUAACGUCAAGUUAUGUCCAAGAGAUAUAUUUUCUCCCUGUUACCCAGCUAUACCGAAAGGAAGCCCAACAGGAAAUUUGAAAGGAAGAUUUAUGCAUCUCUACUGACCAUGCAACCUUGUGUAGGUGUUGAAGGACCAACCUUUUCACAGUUUAUUUUUCAAACAGUUUUCCUAACACCUAAUCGCACUAAAGUUUGCACUAAGAUCCAAACACAAAGAGGUAAGGCGCCUGCUACCGAAUCGCGUGUCCAAAAACGGCUGGAAAUCCAUACAGAAAUUAUCAGGGUCGACAGGUAGUCGUGUACUUAGCCUUGCGGCCACCAGAAAUCAAUCAAGGCAGGUCAGGCAGGUACAUACAGGUGUGUAACAGCUGAGUCCCCAAGGGUCUCGGAAUUUCCCCUUUUAUUCUACCAAUUGGGACCGACAACAGUAUUUACAGCUAGUUCAGUUUUAUUUCCUUCUCUUCUAAACGGUCGAAACGUGCUUCCAAGACAUUUUCUUCUACCGCCUGCAUCCAUACAAUUACUUUGUACUGUUAUCUUAAUUGCGUCUGAGAUUUAAAGGAAACUAAACCUAAAGACAAACUCUAUUUAUGGUCGAAGCUUCCUGUACGGAUUUUCUCCGCAAUACGUUGCCCUUCGGCGACGGAAAUCGACUGGAUUUUCGUGGAAGACAAACUCUAUUACCAUGUACUUCACGCGCAUAUCGCUAGUAUCGCAAAAUCAAUUGGAAGAGUACGCGAAAUCCCCUAUGAUUCAUAUCUAAAUAAACAUAUUAAGAGGAAUAAAAUCACUAUGGCUAUAAUAAACAACAGAGUAUAUAAGUAUAGAUUAUGGAACAUUUAAAUUUGGAAAAAGGAACAGUUGACGAGUAAUUUCCAAAAUGGAAUACAUAGCAUAUUUAUAUUGCUUCAAUAAGUUCCAAUGGUGACAAAAGAAGAUAUAAUAAUCCAAUAUUCUUUAUAAAAAUUACUACAUUUCUGAACAUACGAUCCUUUUGUUACACUCGCAAUUCGAUUAAAAUCGAAUCCUUCAGCGAAUGCGCGCGCAGUAACAUUCCAUUACAAUCGAAUAUCGCAACGUAGAGGUUAAGUCAGAUUUAUACAAAACCAAGGCGCCUAAGAUACACACUAUGCUGGUGGUAAUGAUCGGUUAAUUUGCUCCACGACGAGAUAUCGUUGCUCCCGUUUUUAUUGUUGUCACGAUAACCGAAUAAAGUGCUGCAAUGUGAUGUCACUGGCGAUAAAGCGGUAUCUAGAGGUACUCGAUUGUCUCGUUCCCGUCGCCUCGGUUCUUGCAAUACAUAAAAUCGACGGUUUUCGCGUUCUAUUUAGACCAAGCGAUGAAAUACAGUUUUCGAGGUGGCGGAUUCUAUACGGUGUACGGGCAACGUAGCUAGAUAAGGCAGUAGCCGCGGAACAGGUACGAAACGAGAGUAACAGAGCCUUUAGAAGGUACGACAAGGAUAGAAACAGGACAGAAAGAGAGGCUGCAGACGAUACUGGACACUGCUAGAUCCUUAUAAAGGAGAAGAACGAACCACUUAGAUCUCUCUUUGCGACGAUCCACGGGCUAACGCGACUGGAUACCAAGUUUCGUGUUGUAGAUCGCGUUAAGCUGUGUACAGAACGGCGGAAUGAAAGUUGUCCGACUAUGCUUGUCCAUAUCACUUCAUGACAUUUAUUUUUAAACGAAAUAUAUGAAUCUGAAAUCAUAUUUUUAAUAAACAAACACAAUGAUUUUUAUUUCUGUAAUUUUAUAAAUAUCAUAUAUAGUAAUUUUACUGAUAAUAUUUAGACACAAGAUAAAGAUAUAGAUGAAAAUCAACUUUUAUUUUUAAUAAUUAGGGAUAACACCUUCUCUAUUAUUCUUGUAGAUAUUCUAUAUCAUUUUCAUAAGAAAAUUUAGAAUGUUGUAAUAAUAUUUACAAAUAAAAUAUUGUUUUAGGAAAAAGAGAUUAUGAAUCAUUAGCGUUACUCGUUUUUAGAAUCUGAUUGCCUCUAGAACUUGCUGAUAUAGAACUGACGUAGGAAGUCUAUUUAAUGUGUAUACAUACUGGCUUUGUUUCCUUAGAACACUUCAAGAGUCUCCAUAGUGUAGCUUAGCUUAUUUGACCGUCGUAUUCAUAGCAUAAGUUUCUCAACUUUUGAUUAUUACGAAAUUAACAAGACUAUUGCUAUUUUUGUACAGACUAUAAUACGCACGAUUAAUUCAAAAAUAUUAUAUGGAUAUCUUAUAAAAUAUUUUUUUACAUAUUGUGCAAAAUGAAUUAUAAAUGCAGUAUAUAGAAACAUUUCGAGCUCACCAAGUAAAAAUAACCAAGAUUAUGUAUUGCAACAAAGAUUUAGCUUCUUUUAUCACGGAAAGACAAAGUGAGAACUUUGGAAUUGUCCCUGUCGGUUUAUUAAAAAUUAACACCACGUAUUCACGAGGCGACCUUGUUCUACGUAGAUGCUCCCAGCGAAGGCUCGAGAGAUACGCUUUACAAUCGAAACUGCAAAAACAUUGCGCAAUUAUGCGACAAACACCACGUAAUAACAAAUAGAAUUCCGCAAUUGAGUGUGAUGUUUCCAAUGGUGUG